UUUCUCUCCCUGCAUUCACAUUCCAUUUCCCAUUGUGCCAGACAUGUCUGGUUUUUCUCUUUUAUUUCCAAGUCUUUAACUUUGAUCUUUUUACCACUUUUCAAUUUUUAUUUUUUUUUAACCUUUCUUCCAAAUCCCCUCUUAACAUUUUAAGUUUAGCGGCACUCAACGAGCCGUUUUCUGGAAACCCAAACUCUUUUGUCCAGUAUGGGAGACACUCUGUACAUGUUUUCCCGUAUUUCUGCUGCAUCAUUGCCACAAUCGGACCCGACGUUCCGUGUGUUUUGCGGACUGGCCACCCAUCUUUUACUGGUGGACCCUACCGGUUUACUUAUUACAAUACAGUCGUCACCGUAAGGCUUAGUUUCUUUACUCAAGGAAAAACCCCACUCAAAACUCACGCUUCGAUUUUGCCACGAUCUUGUUCUAAAGGUAAUUCAGUAGAACUCACAUUUGGUUAACAAUAACAGUGAUAUCGUUUUGAAUGUUUUUCAGUGUAAAACUCACGCUUCGAUAUUGCCAUGAUCUUAUUCUAAAGGUAAUUCAGUAGAACUCACGUUUGGUUAACAAUAAGAGUGAUAUCGUUUUACCUGCUUCAGCAUAAAAUUCACGUAGGCUAUUUCCACGAUCUUAUUCCACAGGUGGAAUUCACGUGUGGUCAAUAGCAACGGUCUUAUUUGCUAUCUGCGUUACGAUCUCGGAGAAUUUGAUCCGAGUGAAAUCUUUACCGUAAGCAAUCCUGUCUUCUACUUGUAGUCUAGCGAUGUUACGAUCUCAGAGAAUUUGUUUGAAAUCGUACACGAUCCUAUCUACCUUCGCAUAAAAUGAUGCAUUAGAAAUAUCCCGGAAUCAUGUACUCAAAAAAGAUAUUAAAAGAUUAUUAUAAGGAAAAAAAAAAAAAAAUGUUAAAAAAUAAUUUUAUUCCCCAGACUAUAACAACCACUUGUAUAACAACCACUUGAUCAGUCAUCUGUCUCCGUUAUGUUCAACUCUUACUGUUACUUUAUAAUCGGAAUUUCAACUUCUUACCCGAGUUUGCAGAAAUUAAUUCUUCUUCGCUGGAUACGCGUGACGUCAAUCAGGACUCCUCUGGUUUCCGCCGGUCCUUUCUCUCUUGUCUAAGGAGGUAUGAGGCAGGAUCAUCAGCUGGUGAUCCUGGAAAAGGCCUUUUUCCCCGGACGGUCCCCUGGAGCCUGACGGACGGUCAGUGAAUCCUGUUCGUGACGCCAAAUUGUUGUGGAAUAUUUCAAUAAAAGCUCUGUAGAAGAGAAUGAUUUGUCUGAUAAAACCGAGUCUUGAUGAAUGAUCAAAGUUGCAAAAAGUCCAUUUAUUGCUUGCAAGCAGGAGGUCAAAUACACAGGCACGUAUCACAGUGCUCUGUGGAAAUGGCGUCUCCGAGCACUAAAGACGCUGAGUUUUUAUACACAUGUGGAGGACAUUCUCUGUGUCAGUUACGAGAAGCAGCAAAGCAGGUUGAGAUAAGAACUCAGGGGAAGCUGAGGGUAGCACACACACACAAGAUACUCCUUAAUGGCCGGUGCAAAUCAUUAUUACUUGACAUAAAAGUAAAACUUGGAUCCAGAAAUUUCGUACAGAAUAAGAUAUCAACCAAGGCCAAUAAGAGGAGUCCUUUGUUUUGAAGCUUCUAUGAGAUCGAGUCAACCGUCCUCCCUUCUCAGGGCACAGCUGCAAACUAACAUUUUGUAUCAUGCUGCUCUUUGCACAUCAGGGUCAAAUACAGGACACUUCAGACACGGCUUUAGCACAAAUGCAUGUAAUACUCAUUACAAAAUACAUAAUGUGCUGGCAAGCCCAACCUCCUCCCUCCUCGGCCCAAGGCACCUGUGCACCAGCAGGUCUGGUUCAGGUCUGACAUUCUAUCAUAGGAAAUAAAACAUUAUAUUAAUUUCCCCAUGGUAUACAGGAUGUAGAUUAAAAUUCUACAACCUACCUGCUUAGUGUAGUUUGCUCACACACACGGUACUGGCGAGCAAAAAAACAGAGCAACCCAGACUUCAGCACAUGCCGGACAACGAGAACAAACGUGAGUUGCUCAACUCUCACGGGAUCUCCUUUUAUAUGGAGAGGCUCUCCUUGAGUUUAAGCCUCCCGCUCUGUGCUGAGGCUCCCCGGUCCUACGGUCCCACCUUUCACAUAUGUUUGCUUUGUUGACACGUUGCUGCAAUGUUUUACUUUUCAAUGUCAACUACAUUUUAUUAAAUGCAUUUUAUUUCACUCAGCUUAAUUUGGGACAAGUUUAUUAACAUUAAUGAAACAUGUCUUGUUCCCUAAGGGUGCAGGUCCUAAUGAAGUCUACCAAUCACUCCACCCAUUGAUGAUGGACAAAGACCAAGUCUACAGCACCAUAACACCCAACAAAAGGGAGGGACAGUCUACAUCCCCACUUUGAAGGAUCUCUGCAGCAGCAGCUAUUGCAUCAAUAUUAAAUGCCUGAGUGUUGAAAGAUAAAAUAAGUAUUUUGCAUUUGCUAAAUAAAGCUUGGGACAUACUUUCAUAAUUCCAUGUCAGCGGACAGCUUCACACUUGUACUAGUCGGUAUUUGGUUUUAUAUAAACUUCUUUGAAGACAAAUUGUGCACAGUCCUGGGUUUGCCUGUCAGGACACUCAUGGUCCAAUCACAGAGGGCGGAGGAAAGUCCCAGGUCUCUGAGCCCACUGACGAGCUUAGAGGCCACGAUGGUGCUGAUGCCAGCGGUCCUCAAUGAACAGCGUUUUGCCAUUUGUGUUCCUCCGGUCCAGGUGGAGGUUUGGGUGGAUGCUGAGAGCUUUGCUGGCGUCUGUGGAUGUGUUUGUCAUUCGGGCAGUGGGGUUUGCUCUUUUGGGGGACAGGGACUAUGGUGGUCUUUUUGGAGAAUGUGGGGGAAUACAGUGAAAUGUGUUGUGGAAUAUUUCAAUAAAAGCUCGGUAGAAGAGAAUGAUUUGUCUGAUAAAACAGAGUCUUGAUGAAUGUUUUGAAGCUUCUAUGAGAUCGAGUCGACCGCCCUCCCUUCUCAGGGCACAGCUGCAAACUAACAUUUUGUAUCAUGCUGCUCUUUGCACGUCCGGGUCAAAUACAGGACACUUGAGACACGGCUUUAGCACAAAACAAUGUUAUAACAUAUUUUUACCAUUACAAAUGUUAUAAAUAUCACUGAGCACAUCUGCCAGUUGUUAUGCACAAGCCACAAGAGCUCGGCCGAGGAUGCCUUCAGGUCCAGGUGCCUUUGGUGGCUUAAGAUUUACACACAUCCACCCUGAAUACUGCUGGUGACGCAACAAUGAUGAAGACUGUGGGUAAAACACUUCGUCAUGGCCUUUUAUUUGCUCUAAACUUGACUUACGUUUUAGGGCAGAAAGAAAACGUAAAGUUUGGGACCUCAGAAGAACGUUUUGUUUUAGAAUUGGUGCGUCUCAAUCUGCUAACAUGCUCAUCUUUCAUUGUGUCAUACACACUUAGUUUUUGUGUUGUAAGUGUCAAAUUGUCGGCCUUUUACAUUUAGAUUGUGUACUUUUCUUUUCUUCAAAUUCAGAAUAAAUGUUUUUUUUCUUUAUGUGAAUGGCAUCUGGUUUUGUGCACACUGACAUAAUCUUACACUGUGUUGGAGAGACAUUCACCAGGGGACUGUACCUUUAAGGGAAAGUGUUUUGAUGUGAGGUUAACGUGCAUGUCCGCAGUAGUUCUCACGUGUUGUUUUGUGUUAUUGAAGUGGAGAGUAAAGCUGACUCAACGCAUCUCCGUCUCCUGUCUCGUCUCUUUUCACCCUCCACAACUGUUUGCUUUGCGGCUGAGCGUCAGUGAGAGUACGAGUAGGUGUGUGUGUAGCGGCAGCGUCCUCAAGAGAUUGCAGUUGUAGUUGGAUCGCGUCCCUUCGUCUGUGUCCGAGCUGUCUCGUUCCUUUGCUCCUUCAAACUGAGUCAAAGAAUUCAGCCUUCCAGCCCACGAUUUUGGUUGUUAUUUACGUUGUUAACUUCCGACCGUAGUUAUCAGUGAAAAGUCACUUUACUGCCUUAACUUUCACACUUUAAAAGGUUGAUCAAUGUCUUACUGCGGUUGUGACCGUUUCAAAGAUCGUUUAUACUUGUUAUUAUGAACAGAAACUGAUCAACGUGAGUUCAAGUAGACAAAUUAUGAACCUGAUCUUGUCACGGCCAGUUUACCAAUGACCCAAAUGCAGACAGACGGCAGGUUAGGUGGAAAGAAAAGCUUUAUUUUAUGGGUACAUGGAUGCAGUUGAGGAAGCAGUGACAAGGAAGUGUAAAAAGUGCUGGCUGGGCGGCGAUGCGGUAUGAAGAUGUACUGGACUGACACAAUCACACAGGUUAUGUUACACGGUACCAAGAUUACCGGCUAACGGGGCGAGAGUAUAUCUGCCACAGACGUGAAGAGACGAUCGGGCGAUGAGACAACCGGAAACCGGGAUAAUUCAGCUGGCGGUGACGAGGGCUUGAUGAUGGACCAAUGAGGAGCCCAGAUGCCAGCUGAUUGCAGCCACACACACACACACACACACACACACACACACAGAAGGAACAAACCGUAGCAAAGCUGAUGUCAUAUUAGAGCUGGUGGGUCUUUUGGGGGGGUUAGGGUCAGCCAUUCAGUUUCAGUAAACAUCUCAGUAUGAUUCAAUGCAAAACAAUUAUUAUUCUUCAUUAUUACUUCGCAGUUAAGUAUUUAACAUCUUAUUCAAACAAUUUAGUACAAUGAUAGAUAUACACAGUAUAUAACUAUAUAUAAACAAUAUGAUAUAACUACUAUAUUGUAUAAAUAUAAUAAAAAUAUAAUAUUAAAUACAAUACAAAUAUACUUAUAAAAUCCACCUCUCCUUUCUCUGGUACAGAGUUCGGGUCAGGUCUUCUUGGAAGGACACUGCUCGUGGUCACUCUUGUUUUAACUGGUGUGAGACUCGCGUAGGGCGGUGAAGAGCUCUGCCCACAACUCAAUGGAUUUUAGGACUCUGAAAGGAUGUGUCACUCAUUGACUUUAAUCAGUGAUUGGCUAAACUGCUUCUAAAGGCUGGCGCAUGCUUCUGCUUCUGCGUCUUUACACAGAGUCGUGUCAACGCACUCGUUUCAAUUCAUGGUUCUAAAGUCUUGCGUGUGUUGCAGAGCAAUUCACCGCCAGAACAACAGGUGGAGUAACGUGUUUUUGUUGAAGACGACCAAAAGAGUGACGUCUUGCGUAGCUUUUGACGCUAGUCUAGAAAAAUGGGUCGACGCACGCAAGAACGCAAGAAGAGGUGAAAAGACGCCCAACGGGCUCUUGAGUGCGAGUGUCCUUGCGUCUCUCUGAAAACGCAGAAGCAUGAACUAGGUUUUGGAUCCACCGCUUUGGGACACGGCCCGAGCCCAGCUGAGACAUGCAGAGAGGGCGUGCAGGAAAAGCAUAUAUUUUGCGCAGAUAUCUUAAUUUACUAAUAUUACUGGGUACAUUCCAUGUUUCAAAAACACACAUAUUGACUAUUUGUAAAAUGUAUGUUUUAUAUAAUGAAAAUGAUUAUUAGGAUUUCAUUUAAAAUGACCAGAAUGUGUCCUUCUCUCAGCCUGAUCUAUAGGUAUGAUGCUCUUGAGGUAAAGAAUCUUCCUAAAUGAAAUGAGAAGAUUAUGAUCUGGCUGUAUUUUAUAUAUUUUUUCAAAUAUAAAGCUUUACUGUCAAGCUUGCUGCAGCAACAGGAAAAGUUGCCACCACAAACAGGAAGUCCCUCACAGGCCAGACCAUUUCCUUUCGUAGAAGCACCCGCCCCCCCGUCCACAUCAGAGGCUGAGUCAAUAGAGGAACACGGCCACUAAAUGAGAAACAGCUUGUGUGUUGCAGGAGGAAGAAGAGCAUCAACUGGAGACAGUAAGAGGAAGUGAAGGAGGGACAUGAAGACGGUGAUGACUGACCUGAUGAUUCCUACACACUCGUUCACUCACUCUCUCACUUUCACGAUGAUAAAAAUCUAUGUUUACUUUUGUCUUCUUUCUGGUGAGUUAGUUUUUUUCUGUAUCUUCUGCAUUUACACAAACUGUAGCUUGCGUACAAAAGAUGUAGCUGUUGAUUGAAACAUGUAUAAUUCAAUUAGGGGUUUAUUUUAUUUUUCAAAUUUGCCGUCAUGAAUAGUAAAAACUAACGUCAAAGGAAAUGUACGUAUGAACUAUGACAAAGGCAAAAUGUCUCCUUUAUUUCUGCUUGUAGGUCUGAGUGUUGUGCAGAUGAAGCCUCUGAACAUAAAUCGUCGUGUUGGUGAAAGUGUGACAAUCAGCUGCUCAGACCGGAACGUUUGGGCUGAUGUAACAGAGAAUGUCAAGUACUUUUGUUACAGUCCAUGCACGGAGGACCGACACAUCAUCAUUAAAGCAGCAUAUGGAAAAAUUGAAAAUAAAAACAGAAUAGAGUUACAUAACGAAGGAAAAACCUUGUUCGUGACCUUCAGCAAUCUCCAAAAGUCAGACUCCAAUAUAUACUAUUGUGGACUGGAGAGAUUUGGCCCUGACUCAUAUAUAAAGGUGAAUCUAAAAGUCACUGAUGGUGAGUUUAUUCUCUAAAUAUUCUUAUUGAGAAAAUCCUUGUUUGCCCAAAAGUAAUAACUUUCUUAAUUGUUGGUAUGUUCACUUGUCUGUUAUUUUCAGCUCCGCCCCCCAGUCCCAGCAUGACUCCACAAACUGUCAUUGUUGUUCCCACCUCCUCAUUUACAAAGAGCUCCACGAUGUUUUCUAACAGCUCAGAUGUUAUUAUUGAUACGUCUACGUCAUACACCACCCUCAAUACACCACCUGAUGCACCAGCACAAGGAUCAGUUAGUGAGUACAUCAUCCAUGAACAUGUUACAGUAUAUUGAC
Molecule: long non-coding RNA, 6821 nt
Organism: Gasterosteus aculeatus aculeatus (three-spined stickleback)
Lineage: Eukaryota; Metazoa; Chordata; Actinopteri; Perciformes; Gasterosteidae
Source: Ensembl